GAUGACUGUCCUGUAGGCUUCAGUGUCCACCAUCUAUGGUAUAGGAGCCCAAGCAAGCUGGAUGGAGAUUUUACUUCUGUAGAUCUCCAGACUGUACUCAGCCACAGAUGAGAGCGAGCCAGACUGUGCAGAGCCAAAGGAGCCUAAGAAGAAGGGGACAAAGGUAGCAGGAAAGAACGAUGCUCUUCAAGUACAUUUACAGUGUUGAGAGCUAAGCAAUCCUGACUAUGCUCUACGGGCCUCUUUGUACCAUGCUUUCUAUGAGCCAUGUGUUCAAAAUAAGGGGAAGAGAGGGUUAUGAAUGUGGGUUGUAAAUAAUUGCAUAGAUAAAGCAAACCCCAGUGUACAAUUGGAUGGGGUAAACGCAUGUGACCCCCACCUUGGGAAAAGCUCCAUGGUGGGUGUAGCCUGGUGAAUGCUUUUUGCCGGUCAGAAGAUAAGAUGAAGAGACAAGUUUUGGAAGUCGAGAAGACGCAACUUAGCAGAAGCUUUUUGUUGUUAUUGUUAAGGAUUUACACCUUCCAGGACAAUUAAAAGCUGAACUGAAG
RNAcentral lists this long non-coding RNA (548 nucleotides) under Mus musculus (house mouse). Its description in RNAcentral is "lincRNA-EC298". Lineage: Eukaryota; Metazoa; Chordata; Mammalia; Rodentia; Muridae. The record is from RNAcentral.